This is a long non-coding RNA of Dreissena polymorpha, 4606 nucleotides long. RefSeq lists it as uncharacterized. The transcript is spliced from 9 exons. NCBI's taxonomy places the organism in Eukaryota, Metazoa, Mollusca, Bivalvia, Myida, Dreissenidae. The record is from RefSeq and is a predicted model, not a curated record.
AGUAUUUUUAUACAGAUUAGAAGAUAUUGUUUUCUUCAAAGAAUUAAAAAAAAACAUAUUUUGCUUUGGGAUAUGGUCAGCCAUAUAACUUGUUAAUUGAAUGGUCAUGAAAUAAUGUUCAUGUCCAUUCUCUCAAUGAUUCUGCUUUUAUAUUUUGCAUACUUCUUAAGCAACAUGAACCCAACCUAUAAAUAAGAGCGGACAACUUUAUCAAGCAUUUUGUAAGAAUUAUGGUCCUUUUUUCACUUAGAAUAUGCAUAUUAUUGAUAAAUUUAUGUUAAAGUUUGCGUACCACCUCAAAUAUUUGUUAUGUCCAUUAACAUAUUGCUUUCAUAUUGAGUAUACUUCUUUACCAACAUGACCCCAAUCUAUAAACAGGAGCAGACAACUGUAACAGGCAUUUUGUAAGAAUUAUGGCUCUUUUUCCACUUAGAAUAUGCAUACUAUUGAUAAAUCUAUGUUAAAGUUUGCGUACCACAUCAAAUAUUUUCUAUGUUCAUUGUAAUAUUGCUUUUAUAUUUUUCAUACAUCUUGACCAACAUGACCACAAUCUAUAAUCAAGAGCAGACAACUAUAUCAAGCAUUUUGACCCCAUACAAUCACACAUCUUUACACAGCUGAACAACAACAGGCCUUCUGGACAUCCAAGGACAAUGGCUUGGUAAAGGUGUCAAGCUCUUGGGUCAGGAAUUUUGGGUAAAGCUGCUACCCCCAGGGUACAGCCAGUCUAUCCAUGGAACUCCAAACUUCCCUGCUCAGGGGCCAAGACUACCUCAUCUACAAGGGACCUUAUCCUUACAAGUUCAGUCCCAGAGAAAAAUGUUACCCAACUGCAACACAGGCAAUACAUCUCAACAGAAUGUUCAUCUUGACAAUAUCUAAGCAAAGUUCAAAAUUGAAUUCCGAUCUUGCACCAGGUCGAGUCUUCUACCAAAGUUUAAUGUUUAACUCAGGUCCGUCAGUCUCUUGUGUAACAACCGAAGCUAAAGAUGAAGUGCCACAGAGAGAAAUAGAGGUCACAACAGUAAGACAUGCAGAUAUUGCUGCUUCAGUCUCAAUAGCAACAUAAGCAGCAGCAGAAGCAAAAGCAGCAACAACACCCACAAUUCAACAAUCAACAGUGCCAUUGCUGAGCUCUUUCAAAUGUCGAGGAUCACCCAAAACCACUCGGUGCCAAGCAAUGAAAUUAUCAGCUGCCACCUUGACUUGACCACUGUACACACCUGGGAGUCAGGUUUAAGGUCACAUCAGCUUAAAUGUUCAUGGCAGUAAGAAAAUGUAAGAUCUUAAAGGGACUUGUUCACAGAUUGUGUGGUUAACAAGAUGACUGAACAACAUGGCAUCAAUGGCAAGGAAGAAGUGAUCUGGGGGGGUAAUCACGUGCAAGUCAAGAUGCCGCUCACUUUCCAGCCAUAACAAAAACCCUGAUUGCAAAGCGUAGAGUCUGCUCCGGAAGCAUUUGCACACAAGGCACAAACAUCAGCUGCAAUAAUCGUCUUGAUAUUCUGUCAUCGCCAUGGUGCAUGACCCUCAGUCUAUGAACAUAGGGAACCUUGGACACCCAUGGACGAAAGAAAACUGGCCAAUCAGAAUUACAGCCUGUUGCAGCAGUGGUUACCAUAUUUACCCCAGUCAAACCUAAGAAGCUCAGAGAUAUAUACUGUUUAAGUUGUGCUAGUCUCUACAUACCUCCUGGUAUGUUCAGCACUUACUCUCACAGGUUUCAUCUUUGAAUUUUGUGACGGAUGGAAAUUAAAUGAACUUGUUCAGAUCGAAAUGGCAGAAUGACAUAUCACAACAAGUCAAGUUGAAAGCCAGAAAGUCAUGUCAACAGCCACAUUUCUUAUGUGACCAGCCAAGUUGUAUUCAAAGGACAACACAAGUAUAUGUUUUAUGGGAAAUAUGAUGCUCUCAGUCAUUUUAUGUUGAAAAUUUUGGUAAAAUAUAGUAUGUAAAAAUUAUUAUCGUAAGCACACAUAUUACAAGUCUAUCCAAUGUCUCUGUCUGUAUUAUGAAACUUUUACUACAGAUUUUGAUCCUGAUAAUGCUACAAUUUUAUUUUAAUAUUGUCAAAGCUGUUUUAAUGAUGCUGGUAACUGUAAUGAAACAUGUUUUCUGUUUUUUACCAGUAAUAUAGAUGUGCUACUUAAAAAAAUUCUUCAGAAAGGCUGAGAGUUAUGAAAUAUCGGUAUUGUCUGUCUAUCAAUCUUUCUGAAACAAUAUAAGUCGAUUGGCUCACCCGGGUCAGUAUUCGAUCAAGAAUCUUGUUUAGUAGCAUAAUAUUUCAUGGGAAUACAUGUAUAAAUAAAUUCUGGGAAAAAUCAUUUAAUCUACCUAACAUUAUUGAUUCUGUAUUUACUACCAGUACUUGGUUGAUUUCAAUGGCUGCAGUUUGUUAAAUGAUUAGAGUAUGACUCUUGUGUUAUUGGGAAAGCUUUUUAUGUAAAUGAGAAUUAAACAAAUAUGAAAGUAUUUUAUGAAAAAUGGCAAAAGUUAUGAUUGUUAAAUUGUGUUGUUAUAUCAUAGACUUACAUGCUGGUAAGUUUUAAAGUUUGUUUUUUGACAUACCGGUAACAGUUUAUUAUGCCAUAUAUUUGUAUAUGCGCAUUGAGACAACCCUCUUAAAUCAGUGAGUACACCUGUAUCUUAACCAAGAUUUCUGAUCACUGUAUAUAGGUAUAUUUUGCCAUGUAUACUGCAAAACAAUUGUAUGUUCAGUAUAAACUGUUUAUUUAAUGUUGCCAUUUUUAUAAGAUAAACUCACUGUUUUCAUUUAUUUGUACAAACAAUUGUUCUAAAACAACAUUUCUUGUGUAAAUGCUCAUAUACGUAUUAAACUGUUAAAAAUGCAGCAUGACAUAUUUUGAAGAGAAAAAGAUAGUUAAGGCAAUAUAAACACCUUGUUAUAUGCAAUGUUUUUCAUUGAAUGAAUUUUAGCAACUAUUUAAAAUGUAUUUUUUUUUACAUAAACCUUGAAAUUUUAAAUCAGUCAAUUAAAAUUAAGGGAGAGUGAUGUCAUAUGCUAACAAUUGCCAAGAAUUGCAAUGGCCUCUAUUGGCAAUAUAAGCGAGUACUAUUAUUUGCAAAAGAUAUCUAUUUUGUUAGAUAAUAAUUGUCUUUUACAACUCGACAUAACAAGUAAAUACAUUUCUAAUUAUUUCGCACUAUAUACUCGGCUAUAGGUGAAUGUCUAAAAGGAUUUUGUGGAAUAAACACUUUAGAAAAUAUAUGCUUGUUUCAGGAAGUAAUAGUUUAGGUAAAAUGUGAUACUUAUUGUUACAUAAACACCAAGUGUAAUAACAAAAUGCAUCAGUAAUGACAUUAUUUGAAAAAUUACAUUUGCAUGAUCACACAAUGUGUAAAGUUGUGUAAAUAUGACGUUUAUGAAUUGUGUAUAUUUCAACAAUAAUAUUAUACUUGUAUUUAAAGUACUUGAUAAGUAUUGACGUAGAUCUAUUGCUAUUAGAGAAUUGUAUCAUUUAGCUAGUUUGGUUACAGUUUGUGUAACGUUGACCAGUCCACAUAGCUGUCAGUGGAGUGAAUUCACUGGGGUUCAAUUUCCGUAAUUCUCCUAGUUUAAAACUUCAGCAUACACAUAUGUCUUAAAUCCAGAUUUCCCUAAAAUUGUGGUUGUUUAUAUUGAACUUUUAUUGAAUGCAUGUGACAUGUUUGUUCUUUUGUUGAACGACUGAAAAUAACUUUAUAUGUAUAAAUUGUGUGUCAUGUUUAGAUAUUGUCAUGUUUAGAUAAAUCAAAUUGAUAAAUAGAAAACAAAAUAAAAAAUUUGCAAUAAUUUGUAUGCAUGCUUAGCCCCCAAAAAUGUUAUCAUACAAGCUUAUUGGUAUUGGACUUUGUUUGUACUUUAAGAUGAAAUGUUUCAAUCAUGUGUGAUUUUUAUCAUUUACGUUAAAUAAACAUUUUCCAUUAGUAGAUAUAGGGUGUAUAAACUCUUAUGUAGACUUCUUUUUAAUUGCUUUUGUAAAUAUCUUCAAUAUUUGACAUUACUGUUAAGGUUUUUUUUAGCUCGCCUGUUUUCGGAAAAAAAACGAGGUAUUGUCAUAGCCAGCUCGUUGUGUCGUCCGACGUCCGCGUCGUGCUAAAACCUUUAAAUUUUGCUCUAAAAUCAAAGUGCAUCCACCUAAAACUUUGAAACUUCAUAUGUAGAUGCACAUUGAUGAGUUCUACACGCCACACCUAUUUUGCGGUCACUAGGUCAAAGGUCAAGGUUGCAGUGACCUCUUAAAAAAACAAAUUCGUACAAGCUUUCGUUCAUUCGAAACUGCACCCGCAGCCGAGCGUGGCACCCAUUAUGGGGUGCUCUUGUUAUAGUAAACAUGUACAUGUUUCUCUAAACUGUAAACAGGUGUCUGUUUAAGUUAUUGUGAUUUGUUAAUUUUGUAUUGCUAAUUAAAUGAAAUAUUGUGUAUAGUCUGGCAUUGUUGUUGUUAUUAGACAAAGCACAUUCCAUUACUCAUGUUUAUUUUCAUUUUUAUUUUCGUCCACUAUUUCUAUAACCAGUGUUUUGUCUGUAGAAGUUACAAUAUACUUAAUAUUGCAGUUGUCCAAUGCAAUAUGCUUUACUUUCUAAAUAAAUCAACACCAUUUA